CCUACGGGGGGCUGCAGUGGGGAAUAUUGGACAAUGGGCGAAAGCCUGAUCCAGCCAUGCCGCGUGAGUGAUGAAGGCCCUAGGGUUGUAAAGCUCUUUCAACGGUGAAGAUAAUGACGGUAACCGUAGAAGAAGCCCCGGCUAACUUCGUGCCAGCAGCCGCGGUAAUACGAAGGGGGCUAGCGUUGUUCGGAAUUACUGGGCGUAAAGCGCACGUAGGCGGAUACUUAAGUUAGGGGUGAAAUCCCAGGGCUCAACCCUGGAACUGCCUUUAAUACUGGGUAUCUCGAGUCCGAGAGAGGUGAGUGGAAUUCCGAGUGUAGAGGUGAAAUUCGUAGAUAUUCGGAGGAACACCAGUGGCGAAGGCGGCUCACUGGCUCGGUACUGACGCUGAGGUGCGAAAGCGUGGGGAGCAAACAGGAUUAGAUACCCGUGUAGUC
Molecule: ribosomal RNA, 440 nt
Filed under: uncultured Mesorhizobium sp.
Lineage: Bacteria; Pseudomonadati; Pseudomonadota; Alphaproteobacteria; Hyphomicrobiales; Phyllobacteriaceae
Description: bacterial SSU rRNA
Rfam family: Bacterial small subunit ribosomal RNA
Source: RNAcentral